UCAGCUUCUAAUUAAUCAUCAGUUCUUCAAUUUAAUUUGUGCCGACGCAAACCUUAUGUUCUUCGAGCUCUAAUCUUCAAGCACAUACCAUUUUUAACAAGCUUUAACUUCCAAUCCAGUUAUAAUAACCAAUGAAUAAAAAAUUAGUAUCUUAAGCUAGUUUAAACAGUGGCUAGGAGAGCAACUUAACUCUUCAAGUUGACAGCUUCCAACUCAUGAUCAGUUCUUCAACUAAAACUCUAAACAAAGAGCCUCAUCACUUGUGCCGAGGCAAACCUUAUGUGUUUCGAGCUCCAAUCUUCAAGCACAGACCAUGUCUGUUCCAACUUACAAUCCAGUCGUAAUAGCCAAUGAACAAAAAGUUAGUGCUUUAAGCUAGUUUAAAAAGUGGCUAGCAGACCAAGUGAGUUGGACUUGAACAAAAAAGUAUUUCCUAUAAACAUGCAAAGAGAUAAUAAUUAGAGGAAGAUAAUGGUGAUUAGUAAAAAUUGUAAGAAAUAUGUAGGGAGAAAGAGAAAUUAUGAUAUAAAUGAUUACUUGAGAUAUUAAAUUUACAAACAAAAGGUAAAAUUAAAUUGUUAUAUUCUAACUUACUCACGCAAGAGUACAUGCGUAUCCAUGCCAUAUUUCGCUUUUAUCCUCUUAUUAAAUGAAAACUAUUAUCUUAAUAAUUGUAUAAUAAAAUAUAUCUUCGAUAUAGUAAAACAAAGUAUGUCCUCUACAUAUGUUGCCACCUCAAGUAACAUCCCACCAUCAAUCUAUUACUGUUUACUUAGUCCAUCCAUCCUAAUUGGGAAACAUAAAUUUACUAACAACCAUUUAUUAUUGAAAAAGAAUUUAAUUCAUAUAAUAUAUUUGUCUUCCAAAUUUUGUUAUUUUUAAAGACUUAACUUAUCUGAAACUCUAAAAUAUUAAAGUAUAGCCUACUGCAAUUAAACUCAGAGUUAUUUAAUAUUUUUCUCGUAAAACAAUCGUUUAAAAUAACUAUCAACAAAAUAAUCAAAAGACUACGAAAUUAUUAAAUGAUAAAAUUUAAGUUAUUAUAAAUUUCUCCUAUGAAUACACCCUAGACCCAUCAAUAUCCCUAACACCACGCUAUUUAAAACCUCUUUGAGCAUCCACACACAUUAAUUAUUAUUAAAGGCCUCCCUGACCAAUCACAUAUGAUUCAUCGAUAAGCAAUCAUAUUAUUAUGCACUCGCAAUCCCCAUACAGUUUAUUGUAACGUCUCGAGUGCCAAACGUCAUCCAUACAAAGAACUUUGAUCCAUCGAGUCUUAUUCGAACCGUUUAAUAUACUUUAAUAAUUCUCAGUAAAAUAUAUUUCAGUAUACUUUUCAUUUUCGCUUUAUUUAAAACUUGCAGCAUUAUGUCCGAGACCGACUGACCGAUGUGCUACUCGAUGUAUUUGACAUGAAACUUAUAUGAUGCAUGAGUGAACAUGUGCGACUCGAUGCAUGUGAAGUAUGCUGAAAGACCAUUAGACACGACGCUCAAGUUUUACUUGAGGAUCAUAUUCUUAGUGGAUCUAGAGGGCUCGCAAGUCAGAUGUGAAUGAGAUUGAUGAGACUUAGUGAUUAAACAUGCGGUUAAAUGCGAAUGAGAUUGAUGAGACUUAGCGAUUAAGAUGAUAUGCGCACAUGCAUUAUGUGAAAAAGUAGAUUAUAACUACAUAACGGGAUUGAGUUAGAACCUCUUAUACGAUGGGGUAAUCAUUGGACAUAAGCGCAUACUUGACAAGUAAUAUUAUUCUAUAUGUGCUUUUUAUUUUGAUUAGUGUUGCUUACUGUUUAUUGAUGUUGAUGUGAUUGUCUGUGUUUGUAUCUUUAUUAUGAUGUUAAUCAGUCGUUAGAAAAAAAUGUUGCCACUAUCGAAAUUGAUUGAUUGGAUAGCGAAAGUGGGGACCCUCUCAGUUCAUUGGAGGAUCAUAUUCUUAGUGGAUCUAGAGGGCUCAAAAGUCAUAUGUUCAAAGAAUUAUGAUCCACGAAACUUCGAAAUGAACUUAUAAUUUUAAAAAGUAUUAUAAGCAUUUUUAAGAAGAUAGAAACUAUUUUCGAAAUGGUUUUAUCAUUUUCUCAAAGUUUUAACUUGAGUGUUGUGUCCGACGGCCUUUCAGUACACUUCACAUGCAUUGAGUCGCACGUGUUCACUCAUGCAUCAUAUAAUUUUCAUGUCAAAUACAUCGAGUAGCAUAUCGGUCGGUCGGUCUCGAACAUAAUGCUGCAAGUUUUAAAUAAAGCGAAAAUGAAAAGUAUAUGAAAAUAGAUUUUACUGAGAAUUACUAAAGUAUAUUGACCGGUUCGAACAAGACUCGAUGGAUCAAAGUUCUUUGUAUGGAUGACAUUUGGUGCUCAAAAUGUCACAGUAAACUGUAUGGUGAUUACAAGUAAUCUGUACAUGAUAAGGCUUUUCAUAAGAUGUAGAUGUUCUUCCCGACUUCCAUGGAAACAGGUCUCCUGGUGCAGAUCCAAAAGCAAAAAGGGAAUUAUUUGUGGCAUGAUCCUUGACACAAGUGAUAGACAAUUGGCUCUUCUAUACCUUGCUGUCAUUCAGGGUAUUGCAUAUGGUACAUGCCAUAUUAUGGAGCAUUGAAAUGCUCAUGGUCACACAAUUGACAUGUUACUUGCAUGUGAUGGCCUGUGAAAAAACCUGUGUUUGUCCAAGAACAUACAGAUAUUGUUGG
Molecule: long non-coding RNA, 2682 nt
Organism: Ricinus communis (castor bean)
Lineage: Eukaryota; Viridiplantae; Streptophyta; Magnoliopsida; Malpighiales; Euphorbiaceae
Exons: 3
Source: RefSeq, a predicted model, not a curated record